This 269-nucleotide ribosomal RNA is filed under the name uncultured bacterium. RNAcentral describes it as "partial 16S ribosomal RNA". It matches the Rfam family "Bacterial small subunit ribosomal RNA", at positions 793 to 1055 of the family's 1533-position model. The record is from RNAcentral.
GUCCACGCUGUAAAACGAUGCCUGCUAGCUGUUUCGAGUAUCGACCCUCGGAGUGGCGAAGCUAACGCGUUAAGCAGGCCGCCUGGGAAGUACGGCCGCAAGGCUAAAACUCAAAGGAAUAGGACGGGGACUCGCACAAGCGGUGGAGCGUAUGGUUUAAUUCGAUGACAAGCGAGGAACCUUACCAGGGCUUGAAAGUCUUACGCAAACUCCGGGAAACCGGGUCCUCCCGCAAGGGACAUAAGAUACAGGUGCUGCAUGGUUGUCGU